RNAcentral lists this ribosomal RNA (251 nucleotides) under uncultured bacterium. RNAcentral describes it as "partial 16S ribosomal RNA". It matches the Rfam family "Bacterial small subunit ribosomal RNA", at positions 524 to 775 of the family's 1533-position model. The record is from RNAcentral.
UACGUAGGGUGCAAGCGUUAAUCGGAAUUACUGGGCGUAAAGCGUGCGCAGGCGGUUUUGUAAGUCUGUCGUGAAAGCCCCGGGCUUAACCUGGGAAUUGCGAUGGAGACUGCAAGGCUUGAAUCUGGCAGAGGGGGGUAGAAUUCCACGUGUAGCAGUGAAAUGCGUAGAGAUGUGGAGGACACCGAUGGCGAAGGCAGCCCCCUGGGUCAAGAUUGACGCUCAUGCACGAAAGCGCGGGGAGCAACAGG